Molecule: ribosomal RNA, 655 nt
Filed under: uncultured Methanomethylovorans sp.
Lineage: Archaea; Methanobacteriati; Methanobacteriota; Methanomicrobia; Methanosarcinales; Methanosarcinaceae
Description: bacterial SSU rRNA
Rfam family: Archaeal small subunit ribosomal RNA
Source: RNAcentral
CCGGAGGUCACUGCUAUCGGUGUUCGACUAAGCCAUGCGAGUCAAAUGUUCUUCGUGAACAUGGCGUACUGCUCAGUAACACGUGGAUAACCUGCCCUUAGGUCUGGCAUAACCCCGGGAAACUGGGGAUAAUUCCGGAUAGAUUAUAGAUGCUGGAAUGCCCUGUAAUCCAAAGCUAUUGUGCCUAAGGAUGGGUCUGCGGUCUAUCAGGUUGUAGUGGGUGUAAUGUACCUACUAGCCUACGACGGAUACGGGUUGUGGGAGCAAGAGCCCGGAGAUGGAUUCUGAGACAUGAAUCCAGGCCCUACGGGGCGCAGCAGGCGCGAAAACUUUACAAUGCGGGAAACCGCGAUAAGGGGACACCGAGUGCCAGCAUCCUAUGUUGGCUGUCCAUAUGUAUAAAUCACAUGUGUUAGCAAGGGCCGGGCAAGACCGGUGCCAGCCGCCGCGGUAACACCGGCGGCCCGAGUGGUGGCCACUAUUAUUGGGUCUAAAGGGUCCGUAGCCGGUUUGGUCAGUCUUCCGGGAAAUCUGACGGCUCAACCGUUAGGCUUUCGGGGGAUACUACCAGGCUUGGGACCGGGAGAGGUAAGAGGUACUACGGGGGUAGGAGUGAAAUCUUGUAAUCCCUGUGGGACCACCAGUGGCGAAGGCG